Paralichthys olivaceus (Japanese flounder) is the source of this 487-nucleotide non-coding RNA. Lineage: Eukaryota; Metazoa; Chordata; Actinopteri; Pleuronectiformes; Paralichthyidae. The record is from RefSeq and is a predicted model, not a curated record.
CAUCUCUGAACUGGAGUUUGACAGUGGAGCAGCUGUUUCUUAGUCUCAGCAAAGUGGAAAAUAUUUAUUCUCACCUGGAUCAGAACCUGCUGAGCAGCUGCCACGUGAUUGGCUGAUUGGAAAAUGAAAUGAAGAAGCAGGUGAACUUAAUAAAAGGAUUAGGGCGUGUACAGAAUCAGUGAUGCUUCAUACUCACAACACAUCCUGUUAAAAAGUGUGAACGGGGGAUGACACUCCGGGUCUGGCAACCCUCUCCAGGUAUCAGCUGAGGCUCUGCACAACAUGGCACCUCCUUACCUCUCUGACCUCCUCCACAACUACACACCCACCCAUACUCUCUUCCUCCUCCCUGCUCCUCACCUCACCUCCUGCCCGGCUGUCUUCCAUGUGGUCAAGAGCCUUCAGCUGUGCAGCCUCUGGAACUCUCUCCCACAAGCCAUCAGUGGACCUGACUCUCCCCCCACCUUCAAAUCCUGUUUAACCCUGU